This 373-nucleotide ribosomal RNA is filed under the name uncultured Glomeromycotina. RNAcentral describes it as "LSU rRNA". Lineage: Eukaryota; Fungi; Glomeromycota. The record is from RNAcentral.
UUGAAAGGGAAACGAUUGAAUGCAGNCGGACUCUCGAGAAAUCAGCUCUCUGAGUNUGNNCUUGUGGGCGUGCCUGAGCUUUAAAACCUGGCUGUUUACAUUUCUGUGCUUUUUGGGUGUACUUUUUCGUAUGGUAGGCCAACGUCAGUUUCGAUAACCAUAAAAUGAUUGGAGGAAUGUAGCUUCGAUCUCGUAUUGAAGUGUUAUAGCCUUUGGUAAAUGUGGUUAUCGAAACUGAGGAUUGCAACGAAUACCCUUUGGGCUAUCCGUCUGACCUCUGAAAGUUGCUUAGGUGCCGAAAGCUUGCUUAUGUCAUUUAAGACGACGGUUAAAAGGUUAGAACGCGAUUACAUUCGUUAAGGAUGUUGACGUA